This is a long non-coding RNA of Lycium ferocissimum, 1441 nucleotides long. RefSeq lists it as uncharacterized. The record is from RefSeq and is a predicted model, not a curated record. The transcript has 3 exons. Lineage: Eukaryota; Viridiplantae; Streptophyta; Magnoliopsida; Solanales; Solanaceae.
AAGUCCUCAUGUUGCAUCCCUCCUUUUAAAAAAAAAAAAAAAAAACGGAUGACAUGCACUUGUGCAUUCUAGCAUUUUUUUCAUGUGUUGCGAGGGAGAUGUUUUAAUUCUUUCACAUGUAUACAACAAUUUCUCAAGCUAGACAUUUUCUUACAAAAUGAAAGUGGGCAGCAAUUUAUUUUCCUAAACCAGCAGCUACGUAAGUUGUAAUUGGGUAGCAACAGACGUUUUCAAUUUCAAAUAUGUUUUUCUCAUGAAGCAACAUUCGGGUUUUGCUAGCAAUCACCGCUUCGAUCUCGUUGUUCUGAUACGUUGUUGAAUCUGGGUUUUUCUUCAAAGUGAAGUAAGGUGGAAGAAGAGGAGUUCUUGGCAAAUAAGAUUAAACUCCAUUGUGUGCAGCAUUGGGAAGUAUUGUAGCUUGAGGAGAUUGAGGUAUGUUAAGGCUAAUCCUUUUCUUCUUUUGGCAUGUUUUAUGAUGAAUCUAGAUAUAUAUGAAAGUUAUUCCAUGAAGAUUCCGCUUUUAAUAAGCAGAGACAUCUAGGCUAUUCAUGUCCUUAUGAUAUCGUUCACGUAUGUUAUAUAUCAGAUUAGUACAACUUAUAGUAAUAAGGAUGAUAUUCAUAACGUAAUCGGAGGUGUAACGACCUUACGUCACUCUGAAGGAAGUUCUAAAGAUUUGAAGAGGGUUCCUUAAUCCUUAUGUACUUUCAUAAGAGCAGGAUAUGAGGUAGUAUGUAGAUAUACAUAGUACGUACACAGGCUUGAUUAGAGUACUUUAGUUACCACCGAGCUGGCCGGUUGGGCCGCGAUGUACCUUCAGUUACCACCAAGAUAAGCCGGAUGGAUAGAUAUGUACAUACCAUCGGGUUAUAGCCGGAUGGGAAAGCGUGCGUUACCACCGAAUUAUAGCCGGAUGAGCAAACACGUAUUUACCAUUGAGCGAUGAUCGGAUGGGCAGUUAUGCCCUCACUGUCGAGCUACGGCCGGCGGGGCAGAUAUGUCAUAUGCAUUUACCACCGGGCUACGGCAGGCUGGGCAGUUAUGCGGUUACCAUCGAGCUACAGUCGAGUAGGAAGUUAUCACUAAUUAGUGGGCAGUCAGCAUCACGACGAUGAGGUUCAGAUAGGUUGUCAGGAGGAUUGCACCAGUGGAAUUUGCUGUGUACCAGCCAGCGUGGUAAGCUCCAUGUCAUUCGAAGUUACCGGGUUAGAGUUUUGUGUAUAUGCAGUAUGAGUAGGCCGAGGCCCUGUCCCGACCGUGUUACAACUACACUUCUGUAGAUGCUUGUAGACUUGUGUGGUCAGUUUAGUAUGGAGGCCUUGUUGGCCCUUAUAUAUGUCUAUUAUGAGUUAUUACUGCUUACAGAUACAUAUACUGGCAUAGUCGGCUGGUAGCUAUUCAUGUACGCGUUGGGAUGGUCCCAUCUUGUUGAGUUAGUCAA